UACAGAGGGUGCAAGCGUUAAUCGGAAUUACUGGGCGUAAAGCGAGCGUAGGUGGCUUGAUAAGUCAGAUGUGAAAUCCCCGGGCUUAACCUGGGAACUGCAUCUGAAACUGUCAGACUAGAGUAGGUGAGAGGGAGGUAGAAUUUCAGGUGUAGCGGUGAAAUGCGUAGAGAUCUGAAGGAAUACCGAUAGCGAAGGCAACCUCCUGGCAUCAUACUGACACUAAGGCUCGAAAGCGUGGGUAGCAAACAGG
RNAcentral lists this ribosomal RNA (253 nucleotides) under uncultured bacterium. RNAcentral describes it as "partial 16S ribosomal RNA". It matches the Rfam family "Bacterial small subunit ribosomal RNA", at positions 524 to 776 of the family's 1533-position model. The record is from RNAcentral.